UACAGCGGCGAUAUGCGAUGCGUGCUUGCACGUAAGAGCAUAUCGACAUUGGACAGGCUGACCCACAUGAGCAAGUGGCCUGUCAGGGCGGAUUGCGAAUGAUGGGUGCAAUUGCGAGAGUGACAUAGUCACGGAGCAAUUG
This 142-nucleotide small RNA is filed under the name Blautia obeum. Its description in RNAcentral is "Clostridiales-1 RNA". It matches the Rfam family "Clostridiales-1 RNA", at positions 13 to 157 of the family's 166-position model. Lineage: Bacteria; Bacillati; Bacillota; Clostridia; Lachnospirales; Lachnospiraceae. The record is from RNAcentral.